AUGUUGUUUUUGAUUUUCUACUUUUUGUAUCCCUGUUUGUCUUCUGUUCUUCACUCUGGAAAGUCCCUACCAGAAUGUAUUGAGUUGCUUUUUCCUUUUUCACUUUUCCAUAUUAUUUGUCCUGUAUUAAUGUCCUCCAGCACAUUGACACUGAAGAUCCUGCUGUGUCCAAGUAAUGAACUAAGCAAGAGUGCAGUCCAAAACACUCUAGUCUGGAGUAUGAUUCCUGCUAAGAGGAGAGCCAUCGCCUGGCAAUGAAUGUAGAAGUUUUGCUUUACUGUAUAAAGUAAAACGGAAGGAAAAGACAGUUCAAAAC
RNAcentral lists this long non-coding RNA (316 nucleotides) under Anser brachyrhynchus (Pink-footed goose). Its description in RNAcentral is "lncRNA (ENSABRG00000014948.1)". Lineage: Eukaryota; Metazoa; Chordata; Aves; Anseriformes; Anatidae. The record is from RNAcentral.